CUUGAUUCGUUAGUUUCGGGACUGCGAGAGGAAUCCACGAAAUCCUUACUUGUGGAUUUUGGUGAAGCUUGGAGAUAGCUUGAUUUUGAGACUUGGACAUUUUCAGUCGAUCCAGCAGGUUGUGCCGCAGCCGAGGAAGUUCCGUGCUGCCAGGAAUUUCAUUAGAGAGCCACAGGUUUCGGCUGCUGCGCCUUCCGCGGAUCAGGA
Long non-coding RNA from Ananas comosus (pineapple), 207 nucleotides. RefSeq lists it as uncharacterized. The transcript is spliced from 3 exons. The record is from RefSeq and is a predicted model, not a curated record. Lineage: Eukaryota; Viridiplantae; Streptophyta; Magnoliopsida; Poales; Bromeliaceae.